CAGGACCAGGGAUGGAGCCUGCAACUGAGGAGGAGGAAUCCCACUGCCAAUAGCAUAACAAUACCUGCCAUCAGGACCAGCAGUGCCAGGACAUCGACCCACUCCAUAGGCUGCAGGUGUUGGGGUUGCCAAGGGAGACAAGACUCACACAGGCACCGGAUGGAGCAACACUUGACUCACCUAGAGAACAGAAAGAGCAAGAUCAGCUUCAAUAAGACGCCCGGAGGUGGGCAGAGAGUUUGCAGCGGCUACAGGCCGACGAAGCCGGAGCAGCAGACCGACUGCGGGCGGCUGGGAACCAGGCGGAGGGAACCAGGACACCGCGCAGCGACGCGCGGGAAGGGCUGCGGCCCCGUCCCUUCUCUGGAGCUCGCGUCUCUCUGACUCAAGCACGACCCCUGGAGGCAAAUAGGCCGCGGCACCUCGCAGCGUUAUGCGCCUUCAGAAUCCGUCUCUACUGCAAGGUUUGCCUCAUUUUCCGCCUUGGAAAAAAGAGCGCAGUUCCGGAGUAGGGACUCCAGGAGAGUUCUGGGAAAUGGAGUCUCGGUCAAGAGGAUUCUGGGAGUCGUAGUUCAUGCUGCUCAUUGCGCAUGCGCAUUUCCGUUUUUACAGCA
Myotis brandtii (Brandt's bat) is the source of this 614-nucleotide long non-coding RNA. RefSeq lists it as uncharacterized. NCBI's taxonomy places the organism in Eukaryota, Metazoa, Chordata, Mammalia, Chiroptera, Vespertilionidae. The record is from RefSeq and is a predicted model, not a curated record. The transcript has 3 exons.